This 253-nucleotide ribosomal RNA is filed under the name uncultured bacterium. RNAcentral describes it as "partial 16S ribosomal RNA". It matches the Rfam family "Bacterial small subunit ribosomal RNA", at positions 524 to 776 of the family's 1533-position model. The record is from RNAcentral.
UACGAGGGGGGCAAAUGUUGUUCGGAAUCACUGGGCGUAAAGAGCUCGUAGGCGGUUUGUUGCGUCGGCUGUGAAAUCCCGAGGCUCAACCUCGGGUCUGCAGUCGAUACGAGCAAACUAGAGUGUUGCAGGGGAGACUGGAAUUCCUGGUGUAGCGGUGAAAUGCGCAGAUAUCAGGAGGAACACCGGUGGCGAAGGCGGGUCUCUGGGCAACAACUGACGCUGAGGCGCGAAAGCUAGGGGAGCAAACAGG